This 432-nucleotide ribosomal RNA is filed under the name Triticum aestivum (bread wheat). RNAcentral describes it as "partial small subunit ribosomal RNA". The record is from RNAcentral. Lineage: Eukaryota; Viridiplantae; Streptophyta; Magnoliopsida; Poales; Poaceae.
GGUGAUUGGGUGUGGCUGCGUCUUCUCCAUCGCUCUACGCAGUCCCUCGACCCGCGCGCGAAGCGCAAGCUCGGCCCUCGCUACGCCGGGCCCUUCCCUAUCUUGGAGCGCAUUGGGAAGGUGGCCUAUCGUCUUCAGCUUCCAGCCCGCGCUCGCAUCCACGACGUUUUCCAUGUGGGGCUGCUCAAGCCUUUCCGUGGCGAGCCACCGGCGGCUCCACCGGCGCUUCCUCCCAUCGCCAAUGGUCGCAUUCUUCCAGAGCCGGCAAAGGUAUUGCAGGCGCAGCUCUGUUGUGGCGUCUGGUUCAUCCUCGUUCAGUGGGCAGGCCUUCCGGAGGAGGAGGCUACUUGGGAGCAGCGUGAAGAAUUCCGCCAACACUAUCCAGACUUUCAGCUCGAGGACGAGCUGUUUGCGCAGGCGGGGAGAGAUGUU